Molecule: ribosomal RNA, 253 nt
Filed under: uncultured bacterium
Lineage: Bacteria
Description: partial 16S ribosomal RNA
Rfam family: Bacterial small subunit ribosomal RNA
Source: RNAcentral
UACGUAGGGUGCAGGCGUUAAUCGGAAUUACUGGGCGUAAAGCGUGCGCAGGCGGUCUCUUAAGACAGGUGUGAAAUCCCCGGGCUUAACCUGGGAACUGCGCUUGUAACUGAGAGGCUUGAGUGUGCCAGAGGGGGGUGGAAUUCCACGUGUAGCAGUGAAAUGCGUAGAUAUCUGGAGGAACACCGGUGGCGAAGGCGGCAUCCUGGACCGAUACUGACGCUGAGGAGCGAAAGCCAGGGGAGCAAACGGG